RNAcentral lists this long non-coding RNA (388 nucleotides) under Brassica napus (rape). RNAcentral's name for it is "long non-coding RNA (BNAP_LNC009749)". The record is from RNAcentral. Lineage: Eukaryota; Viridiplantae; Streptophyta; Magnoliopsida; Brassicales; Brassicaceae.
CUUCCAUGUUGCUUCUCGUUUAACUACAACCUCGGUUGUAUUCACCUCGUCUUCUUGGAACUUGGCUAAGCAUUCAUCAAACAGAGCCUGGUCUGUCUCUGCCAGUACCUUUCUGACAUUCAAAGUCAGACUCUGAACCGCAUGGUGCCAAUGGCCACGCGUGUUCCUCUCCAUAGCCGGGAACACAAUCGGCAUUAUCACUUUAUAGUUUUGAGUAAUCAGGUUUCUUAUGUAGGUGCCAAUGGCCCCGCGUGUUCCUCUCCAUAGCCGGGAACACAAUCGGCAUUAUCACUUUAUAGUUUUGAGUAAUCAGGUUUCUUAUGUGGUCGUUGUUCCACAGAAACAGAGCUCUUUCAGCCACCUGAGGAAACAAAAAAAAAAGACGCAA